GGCUUAUGGUGGCCCGAAUUUAGCUUUUGGUGGCCGGAAUUCAGCUUCUCUAUAGUUGAUGAGAUCGUAUGGACAUUGGCAUGGGUUUGUGACUUAAUCGCUUGCAGAAGCGGUUUUAUCAGCAGUCUGGUCAAUAUAGGUGGGGAGAAGCGGUUUUUGGCGUUGUUUUGAUCGCUGAAAUUGGGUGGUUUUGAUGAAAUACCGCUUUUUAGGUGGUUUCGUGAAGCGGUUUUGGGUAGCGAGGUGGAUUCUGGCCCGGGUUAGGCGGUUUUGUGGUAAAACCAUUCUUGCCCUCUCUUUCUCUCUCAUCUUUUCUCUCCCUUGUAUCUUCUCUCUUCUCUCAAUUUCACUGUGCGUGUUGGACACCUGGCGGAAUUCGGUGUACAUAUUCAUUAUCAAAGAUUCUGGGAAUUUGAAUU
Long non-coding RNA from Amborella trichopoda, 419 nucleotides. RefSeq lists it as uncharacterized. Lineage: Eukaryota; Viridiplantae; Streptophyta; Magnoliopsida; Amborellales; Amborellaceae. The record is from RefSeq and is a predicted model, not a curated record.